Molecule: ribosomal RNA, 440 nt
Filed under: uncultured bacterium
Lineage: Bacteria
Description: partial 16S ribosomal RNA
Rfam family: Bacterial small subunit ribosomal RNA
Source: RNAcentral
CCUACGGGUGGCUGCAGUGGGGAAUAUUGCACAAUGGGGGAGACCCUGAUGCAGCGACGCCGCGUGAGUGAAGACGUAUUUCGGUAUGUAAAGCUCUAUCAGCAGGGGAGAAAAUGAGGGUACCUGACUACGAAGCCCCGGCUAACCACGUGCCAGCAUCCGCGGUAAUAAGUAGGGGUCAAGCGUUAUCCGGAUUUACUGGGGUUAAAGGGAGCGUAGAUGGCCAGACAAGGCAGAAGUGAAAGCCCAGGGCUCAACCCUGGGAGUGCUUUUGAAACUGCCGGGCUGGAGUGCAGGAGAGGUAAGCGGAAUGCGUAGUGUAGCGGUGAAAUGCGUAGAUAUUAGGAAGAACACCAGUGGCGAAGGCGGCUUACUGGACUGUAACUGACGUUGAGGCUCGAAAGCGUGGGGAGCAAACAGGAUUAGAUACCCGAGUAGUC